Molecule: long non-coding RNA, 781 nt
Organism: Cryptomeria japonica (Japanese cedar)
Lineage: Eukaryota; Viridiplantae; Streptophyta; Pinopsida; Cupressales; Cupressaceae
Exons: 2
Source: RefSeq, a predicted model, not a curated record
GAAAAGAAGCUUUAUUCCAUCUUUCUGAUAUUCGUUAAGUGUAGAGCAAAGAAAGGCUAUAAAAAGGGUGUUAUGGGCUUCAACUCGUUACUGCAAGGAAGGAGAGCGCAUACAACUGUUGAUCGACCUCAUUAUUAUACUGCUCAAGAUCUUGUUCUGCCAUUGUCACAGGAACAAUGCAAAGUCAAUUAAGGAAAGGGGAUCAAGACUCAAAACGAGUUGGAGCUUCUUUGCAAACUAAAAACAAGGACAUGAAGACUAAAGGAGGGGAAAAACAAAAAGACUCAAAAGUAGUGGAAGCUUCUUUGGAAAAUAAAGUUAAGGACUUGAAGAUCGAAGAAGGAGAAAAACAAAAAGAAAAGAAGAAAGAUAUAGAGAAGGGUGAAAAGAAAGAAAAUGAACAUGAUAAGGAGAAGAAGAAAGAAAAGCCAAAGAAGGAAAAAGAUAAACAACACAAGGAUCAUGACAAUGAAAACAAGGAAAAGAACAAAGAAAAGAAGGACAAGAAUAAGGAUAAUGAAAAGAAAAAAGAUAAAGAAAAGGAAAAGCCCAAAGAAGAAAAGGAAAAACAUAAGGAGCAUAAGGUAAAGUGAAAAUCAUAUCAGAUGAUGAAAUAUUAUACUAUGUUAUAAGAAAGAUCAAGAUAGUAUUGUUGAUCUUUACAAAGUUCAUCAAAAGGCUUGACCAUAUUAUUAUAUAGAACAUUUGUAAUAAAUUUCUAUAAAACUUCAUUGUUUUUAUAUAUUGGUAAUUAAUAAAAUGCAUGGUUUCAAGAAAAAAA